This is a long non-coding RNA of Eptesicus fuscus (big brown bat), 365 nucleotides long. RefSeq lists it as uncharacterized. The record is from RefSeq and is a predicted model, not a curated record. The transcript has 3 exons. Lineage: Eukaryota; Metazoa; Chordata; Mammalia; Chiroptera; Vespertilionidae.
CCGCGGCGCCUGUUUUGCCUGGAUCCUCCUGCAGGCCCUCUGCUGUGGGCGCUGAGUCCCAGCCAGAUCCCCUUCCCGGGAAUAUAGUGGCACUGCCAAUACUUUUCCAAGUCAGCCUGGAACCCUCGCCAGCCCGGUCCCGACAGGAUGACCACGCAGAAGAGUUGCAGGGAGGGAGCUCGCCAGGAUGCUCAGGCCGUGCGUUUUAAUGGUGCUGGCUGUCUGGAGCAAGCCCCAGUUGCUCUUGUGAGAACAGGCUCUGAAGCAGUUGACGACAUUCCGCAUCUCUACUCGGAGCAGGGAGCGGGGAAGGCGGCUGGAGGCUCCUGCCCAGCCUCCCACCCAGCCUCCCGCCCUGCAUCCAU